UUCAUUGUUAUACCAAAUUGCACAUACAGCAUGAUAAUAAAGUACUCCAGAUAGAUCCCACCUCCUACAUGUGCAUGUCAUUUCUUGUUUGUCAACUACAAACUGUCCCCUUGGGCCAACCACUUGAAACCUCUCACCUCUAGACCACUCUGUUGUAAAUAUCCAGCAAAAUUCUUUGGACUUUUCUAGAUUUUUCAAGAUCUUAGGGUAGUAAGCAUAUGCCACUCUUUUCAUAACAUCCCUAUUCUUAUGUAUCCUUUUCAUUAAUUUCAUUCUUAUAACCUCAUUCAUAACUAUCACACCCUUGGUUCUAGCAUCUAAGAUAAAAUUGUUAAAACACUCACAGAAUUGUUUAACAACAUGUCACACUUAGCAUCAGUCCUAAAAUGAGAUCUAGACCAGUGAUGAGGGGGGAUGCUAUUCAUGUAGUUAUGUCCUUGAUCU
This 444-nucleotide long non-coding RNA is filed under the name Ricinus communis (castor bean). RNAcentral's name for it is "long non-coding RNA (RCOM_LNC000793)". The record is from RNAcentral. Lineage: Eukaryota; Viridiplantae; Streptophyta; Magnoliopsida; Malpighiales; Euphorbiaceae.